Helianthus annuus (common sunflower) is the source of this 226-nucleotide long non-coding RNA. RefSeq lists it as uncharacterized. The transcript is spliced from 3 exons. Lineage: Eukaryota; Viridiplantae; Streptophyta; Magnoliopsida; Asterales; Asteraceae. The record is from RefSeq and is a predicted model, not a curated record.
ACAUGGUGGACCGGAGACGUCAAGAUUCGUUAACGAGAAUCUGUUUGCUAAUCUCAAGAGAUUUGCGUCUGAGGAUCAAGAUAUGUCUGCGAAUGUUAUCAAGAUAUAGCGUAACCGGUCUGACAUUCAAGAGGUGUAUUACAGUGAAGAGACACAUAAGUUUUCAGUGUCAGCAAUAGAGGAAAGUGUGAAGUUAGAAGGAAGAAUGACCUUUCCUCUUUGGACA